GGAAGUAAAAGUCGUAACAAGGUUUCCGUAGGUGAACUGCGGAAGGAUCAUUACAGAAAGUAAACGCGGAUCGAACCGCGAACUUCUAAACCUUUGACGAUUGACUCAUGUUGCCUCGGCGGGUUCUCCCGCCAGAGGAUACAUCAAAACUCCUGUUUUAACGGUGUUGUCUGAGCUACAAGCAACGAAUCAAAACUUUCAACAACGGAUCUCUUGGUUCUGGCAUCGAUGAAGAACGCAGCGAAAUGCGAUAAGUAGUGUGAAUUGCAGAAUUCAGUGAAUCAUCGAAUCUUUGAACGCACAUUGCGCCCCUUGGUAUCCCGAGGGGCAUGCCUGUUCGAGCGUCAUUUCACCACUCAAGCCUGGCUUGGUGUUGGGCGACGUCCCCUUUGGGGACGCGCCUCGAAACGCUCGGCGGCGUGGCACCGGCUUUAAGCGUAGCAGAAUCUUUCGCUUUAAAAGUCGAGGCCCCGUCUGCCGGAAGACCUACUCGCAAGGUUGACCUCGGAUCAGGCAGGGAUACCCGCUGAACUUAAGCAUAUCAAUAAGCGGAGGAAAAGAAACCAACAGGGAUUGCCUCAGUAACGGCGAGUGAAGCGGCAACAGCUCAAAUUUGAAAUCUGGCUCUUUCAGGGUCCGAGUUGUAAUUUGUAGAGGAUGCUUCGGCGUGGGCUCCGGUCUAAGUUCCUUGGAACAGGACGUCAUAGAGGGUGAGAAUCCCGUAUGUGAUCGGUUGCCUUUGCCAUAUGAAGCUCCUUCGACGAGUCGAGUUGUUUGGGAAUGCAGCUCUAAAUGGGAGGUAAAUUUCUUCUAAAGCUAAAUACUGGCCAGAGACCGAUAGCGCACAAGUAGAGUGAUCGAAAGAUGAAAAG
This 872-nucleotide ribosomal RNA is filed under the name uncultured Cenococcum. RNAcentral's name for it is "eukaryotic LSU rRNA". The stretch from base 500 to 872 matches the Rfam family "Eukaryotic large subunit ribosomal RNA", at positions 1 to 371 of the family's 3401-position model. Lineage: Eukaryota; Fungi; Ascomycota; Dothideomycetes; Gloniales; Gloniaceae. The record is from RNAcentral.